ACCAGACUCCUACGGGAGGCAGCAGUGGGGGAUAUUGCACAAUGGGGGGAACCCUGAUGCAGCGACGCCGCGUGGGUGAAGGAGUAUUUCGGUAUGUAAAGCCCUCUCGGCAGGGAAGAAGCAAGACGGUACCUGACUAAGAAGCCCCGGCUAACUACGUGCCAGCAGCCGCGGUAAUACGUAGGGGGCGAGCGUUAUCCGGAUUUACUGGGUGUAAAGGGAGCGUAGACGGCCAUGCAAGCUCGGUGUGAAAGGUGCGGGCACAACCCGCAGACUGCACUGAGAACUGUAUGGCUGGAGUGCCGGAGGGGCAGGCGGAAUUCCUGGUGUAGCGGUGAAAUGCGUAGAUAUCAGGAGGAACACCGGUGGCGAAGGCGGCCUGCUGGACGGCGACUGACGUUGAGGCUCGAAAGCGUGGGGAGCGAACAGGAUUAGAUACCCGAGUAA
This 447-nucleotide ribosomal RNA is filed under the name uncultured bacterium. RNAcentral describes it as "bacterial SSU rRNA". It matches the Rfam family "Bacterial small subunit ribosomal RNA", at positions 330 to 793 of the family's 1533-position model. The record is from RNAcentral.